GAUCCUUAAGGUAAACUCUCACAUGAAUACAUCAUGAGACUAAAUCUCCUUCCAUAUGAUUCAAAGCAUGUUAUGAUGGUGGGAGUGAAUCAGGUUACUAGAAUAAUGGUUUGCUAAUUAAUUUACAUCAUGUGGAGUCUCAAGACACAUGGGUACGCCGACUCCUAUUGCUUGACAAAUGUAUAUCUGCGGGUUUUCUUUAAUUGUAUGAAGAAGUUACAGUUAGGUGUUGACCUUUUUUUUGCCUAGACACAGCACCUCCAUGCACCUUUUUCCGUUUAUCUUUGCUGCGCCUUUUUAGUUUUAAUUGUUGUUUACCUUCAUCCGACCAAAUUGAGCUAUCGGAGGUGCUGCGAUCUUUUGGCAAACAUGCUCUGUAUUCUAUGGUUUGGCAUCUACAGGAUGCCAUCUCAGGUCAUGGAUCCACUGUGGCCGCUUCGUCCUUCACUGAGGACCUUCUCAUCCCCACAGAGAUCAGAGGUAACCCACACAGUUGGAAAUAGUUGCUCAAGUUCUUGCUUCAACAAAUUUUGUUCCGGAUAUAAUUUAUGGCCAUGCCAUGUAUUAAUUAUUCUUAUAAUGGUCAUCUGAAUUUGCAAAGAAAAUUAUAUUUUGGAAGCAGGAACCCUUACCUCAUGGCGUAUCAUGGCUCCUAAUGUUAUACUUCGAAUAGUUGAGCAGAAAACUGGCGUAUCAUGGCUCCUAAUGUUAUAGAGCAAGUGGACAGACUAUUUCCCCCUCCCACCCCCCUCUAAACUUUGUUUUCUAGGUUUGGUUGGCUACAAAAGGCUAGAUUCUGGUAUAUAUUCGUUGGUGCAGAAGCUAGAAGCUCAUUGAUAUUAUUUUUCUUGCCAAACAUAUGAAGGAUUGUGCAUAAAACUUCCAGCUUGAAAUCUACAUCUGGGUUACAAGCUUUGUCCAGAAUUUAAGAACAUCGCUGUGGACAUUUAGAUAUUUUUGUAGCAUUCUUCAGGGUCUUGACUUAAUUUCUUUUCACACAGUAAAAUAUCAAUUAUAUGUUGUACAGUAGUAGUAGUGUGAAUACUAUGUACUCAAGUUUAUUGAAGUCAAAACAGGAAAGGAGAGCAGAGUUCAGGGCAUGUUCAGCUCCAUCCAUGCAUCAAGGGAAAUAUAUACGAGGCAAAGGAAUUACGUGUUCUGCUAGAUGACAUAGUACAAGGUUCAGCAGCGACGACAUGAUCUCAAACAUGGCACUGAGUACAAGGCAAAGUUAUGUGGUGGGUCGGAUGGAGAGCUUGGCGCGGUGAUGUGGCAGGCUGCUCUACAGUGGCACUAAUGGAGAGCUCGGUCAACGAUGACGGGACGACCGACUGAUCUGCGGCAGCGUGGAAGGAGGGCUCGGCGGUCGACACGGCGGCUCGAUCCGCUGUUCUGCGACGUUUCGGAGAACUUCUUGUACUGGUGUGUGUGUAUGCAUAGGUGCCGUACUAUCCUGGGCGCUCACUCCCCCAGGAUCCCACAAGUUUGCAUAGAGCUCGGACGUCGGUGGCGGCCUGGCACGCUAAUCUGCCGCCUCCACAUGAGGAGUCGUGAGAUUAGUGCAUCACAUUCAAAAGUCGCCGCUCCGUGAUUAGGGCAUUGCAUUCAGGCAUUCAGUAGAUUAGAAGACAUAUUUAGCUAGCACUGGGAUCCAUCGUCAUUGUAGGGCCUUGAAUCUUUUCAAUCCUUGCCAAGACAGUUCUUGCCAUGGACGACGGGUCUCUCCGUGUGGUCUUGGUCCAAAAGCUAAAAUAGGGAAUAAGAUGUGCCUUGCCGUGUGGAGUGUUGGGUAUCUUUUGCACUUGCUCCAUCAGCUGCAGAAACUAUAGCCCAAAUGCAGCAUACUGCUACUAUUUCAUAUCAUUGAUUGAUGAUUUGUUUUUUCAUAAUUGAAUUGGCGAAUGAUGAAAAGGUGUAAUGUUCA
Molecule: long non-coding RNA, 1924 nt
Organism: Triticum aestivum (bread wheat)
Lineage: Eukaryota; Viridiplantae; Streptophyta; Magnoliopsida; Poales; Poaceae
Exons: 2
Source: RefSeq, a predicted model, not a curated record